UACAGAGGGUGCAAGCGUUAAUCGGAAUUAUUGGGCGUAAAGGGCAUGUAGGUGGUUUGACAGGUUUGAUGUGAAAGCCCCGGGCUUAACCUGGGAAAGUCGUUGAAUACGGUCAAACUCGAGUCGGACAGAGGGCAGUGGAAUUUCCGGUGUAGCGGUGAAAUGCGUAGAGAUCGGAAAGAACACCAGUGGCGAAGGCGUCUGCCUGGGUCCAGACUGACACUGAGGUGCGAAGGCGUGGGGAGCAAACAGG
Molecule: ribosomal RNA, 253 nt
Filed under: uncultured bacterium
Lineage: Bacteria
Also listed under: 1 other name
Description: partial 16S ribosomal RNA
Rfam family: Bacterial small subunit ribosomal RNA
Source: RNAcentral